RNAcentral lists this small nuclear RNA (246 nucleotides) under Neolentinus lepideus HHB14362 ss-1. RNAcentral describes it as "U2 spliceosomal RNA". It matches the Rfam family "U2 spliceosomal RNA". From Rfam's summary of the family: U2 is a small nuclear RNA (snRNA) component of the spliceosome (involved in pre-mRNA splicing). The record is from Rfam by way of RNAcentral. Lineage: Eukaryota; Fungi; Basidiomycota; Agaricomycetes; Gloeophyllales; Gloeophyllaceae.
UUACCACUCUGGCCUUUUGGCUUAGAUCAAGUGUAGUAUGUGAGUAAUAUCGGGUCUUCUAACUAUUAAGAAAUUAUUUUCUGACCUUGGCUGUUCUAGCUGUUCUUAAUAGUUUAACCACUAUUAUGAGGGCACCGCCCUCAUUUCUGGUUAUCUAAUUUUUGCCGCCUUGCCCUUCAGCUCUGCUUGCAACUGAGAGGCGUGAUGACCUCGCCGUUGCACUACUGGCCUGUGUCGUCAGGGGAU